Molecule: unclassified non-coding RNA, 257 nt
Filed under: uncultured Hypocreales
Lineage: Eukaryota; Fungi; Ascomycota; Sordariomycetes; Hypocreales
Description: sequence contains 5.8S rRNA gene, ITS2, 28S rRNA gene
Rfam family: 5.8S ribosomal RNA (bases 1-52)
Source: RNAcentral
AACGCACAUUGCGCCCAUCAGUAUUCUGAUGGGCAUGCCUGUUCGAGCGUCAUUUCAACCCUCAAGCCCCCGUGGCUUGGUGUUGGGGAUCGGCCCGCCCCUAGCGGCGCGCCGGCCCUGAAAUCUAGUGGCGGUCUCGCUGUAGCCUCCUCUGCGUAGUAGCAACACCUCGCACCGGAACGCAGCGCGGCCACGCCGUUAAACCCCCACUUCUGAAGGUUGACCUCGGAUCAGGUAGGAAUACCCGCUGAACUUAA